This is a long non-coding RNA of Anopheles aquasalis, 884 nucleotides long. RefSeq lists it as uncharacterized. The record is from RefSeq and is a predicted model, not a curated record. Lineage: Eukaryota; Metazoa; Arthropoda; Insecta; Diptera; Culicidae.
UGUUUCGGUGAAGCUCGUAGCGAUAGGACGCGGCCAACUGGCAACGCUAUCCAGCAUUCUUUCUGCUUCGUCACCGUCGUCGUCGUCGUCGUCUUUUGUGAUUUUCGUAGUAGUUGUUGUGCUCCCUUUAACCCCAUUGUCAACAUAAAAAUCGAAAGGAAGUGGAUGGUGACGAGUGAGGAAUAAACAAGCAACAUUGUUUUCGCACUGAAAGUGCAGUGAAGCAUUAAGUAACAGCAAGAAAUGUGUGCGUGCUAGUGUGUUUGUGUGCAUAAUGGAGGAAAAAUAACGCAGGAAAACAAACAACAGUCGAAGGAGGAGAAGCAAAAGAGAGAAGAAGGAAAGGAACCCCAAGGCCACUCAGGAACCAUCGUCCUAUCCGCGCUCAAACACCUCCAACGGAGCUCUGCCUCUGCCAGAGCUUCGAUACCGUGCACGAACCGCGUUGGGAUCAGCGUUGGCCACGCCAAACCACCGACACCGAGUGCAUCGUGAUGAAAAAUCGAUCAACCAAGGACGACAACGAACCGCAGCAGGCGUGGCGUGUGGCGUGAGUGUACGGUGUGUGUUCCGUCCGUUCGGUGUAACGCGCGACGCACCGCGACGGGUAUAAGUGAAUCCUCUGAUUAAUUGAUAUCCGACGUGACCACUGAAGCAAGUGAGAGCGAGCGCGUGUGCCCAUCGAUUCUGCAUACUGUAAAGGUGAAAGUGUUGGUCGACUAAUUGGUUAAGCCAACAGGAAGCAGCCAACCAGCGCCAUGAUCGGCGUGGAUAACGAACGGUUCAUCAGGAGUCACCGCUAGUUAUGUUGUUGUUGGUUGCAAGUGCCCGGAAGGAGCGUCAGCCCGGUGGUUACUGCCGUAGAAGUGGUUGUUGUUGUUGUU